GAUGUUGGGUUAUAUCUCGUACAGAGAGCAACCCUUGUCCUUAGUUACCAGCACGUUAUGGUGGGCACUCUAAGGAGACUGCCGGUGACAAACCGGAGGAAGGUGGGGAUGACGUCAAAUCAUCAUGCCCCUUAUGACCUGGGCUACACACGU
RNAcentral lists this ribosomal RNA (153 nucleotides) under bacterium enrichment culture DGGE gel band A16. Its description in RNAcentral is "partial 16S ribosomal RNA". It matches the Rfam family "Bacterial small subunit ribosomal RNA", at positions 1071 to 1223 of the family's 1533-position model. The record is from RNAcentral.